AGAUCUUCAGCUAAAGGUUGAUUCUUCAACUCAAACGGAUUCUGAGCAGGACAAACAGCUCAAGGACCUGAAAGAACCUCUUAACAAGAAUGAAUAUUAUGCUGACUCAGGGAGGAAUGCCCAAAAGGAGAAGGUAAUAACAAUUUUGAGGAACAUGCAACGCAUCCUGGUUGAGUCUUUUGAACCUUCAGCUGCAGCUAUCCCCCUGCUGGAAGAACGCAUUCAAGGGUAAGACAGUGGAGCAAGGCUUCAUUUUGUGUGAUUCUGUGAAAACAACAGGACUGUCAUCUUGUAUCCCAGUGAGAUACUAACACAUGAUUUUCAAAGAUGCUUUUUAGAUGAGGUUCUUUUGUGCUGUUCUUUUGGUAUUUGUUCUCUUGUGGACUUCUGUGAUAAGGCCUGUACUUUUUUCAGGCUCCAAAUGCAAACGGCAAGGCUGGAAGCCACAAUCCAGCAACAAGCCAAGACUAUUGAAGUCCUUGAGGCAAUCCAGCAAUCUCUUACCUCAGGCUCUUCUGUGGGCACCAGUCUUUGGCACCGUGAUUUUCCACAUGCUAUCAAAAACUGUUUUGGAGUGAAGUGUGCAAAGUGAGCCAAUCCCUGGGGCUGGGUCACCCUGCAGGUGUUUCCACCCUUUUGGGCGUCUCUUUGUUGCCAUGAGAUUUGUGAAAUUUAGCAAUUUUUUGUCUAGUGAUUACUUACUGUUAUUUUUUGCCUGUUGCUGUUUCACUUGUCA
This 736-nucleotide long non-coding RNA is filed under the name Junco hyemalis (dark-eyed junco). RNAcentral's name for it is "lncRNA (ENSJHYG00000017770.1)". The record is from RNAcentral. Lineage: Eukaryota; Metazoa; Chordata; Aves; Passeriformes; Passerellidae.